AGUUGGAAACGACUGUUAAUACCGCAUAAUAUCUGUGGAUUAAAGGUGGCUUUCGGGCUGUCGCAGAUGGAUGAGCCUGCGUUGGAUUAGCUAGUUGGUGGGGUAAGGGCCCACCAAGGCUACGAUCCAUAGCUGAUUUGAGAGGAUGAUCAGCCACAUUGGGACUGAGACACGGCCCAAACUCCUACGGGAGGCAGCAGUGGGGAAUAUUAGACAAUGGGGGCAACCCUGAUCCAGCAAUGCCAUGUGUGUGAAGAAGGCCCUAGGGUUGUAAAGCACUUUAGUUGGGGAGGAAAGCCUCAAGGUUAAUAGCCUUGAGGGAGGACGUUACCCAAAGAAUAAGCACCGGCUAACUCCGUGCCAGCAGCCGCGGUAAUACGGGGGGUGCAAGCGUUAAUCGGAAUUACUGGGCGUAAAGGGUCUGUAGGUGGUUUGUUAAGUCAGAUGUGAAAGCCCAGGGCUCAACCUUGGAACUGCAUUUGAUACUGGCAAACUAGAGUACGGUAGAGGAAUGGGGAAUUUCUGGUGUAGCGGUGAAAUGCGUAGAGAUCAGAAGGAACACCAAUGGCGAAGGCAACAUUCUGGACCGAUACUGACACUGAGGGACGAAAGCGUGGGGAUCAAACAGGAUUAGAUACCCUGGUAGUCCACGCUGUAAACGAUGAGUACUAGCUGUUGGAGUCGGUGUAAAGGCUCUAGUGGCGCAGCUAACGCGAUAAGUACUCCGCCUGGGGACUACGGCCGCAAGGCUAAAACUCAAAGGAAUUGACGGGGACCCGCACACGCGGUGGAGCAUGUGGUUUAAUUCGAUGCAACGCGAAGAACCUUACCUGGUCUUGACAUCCUGCGAACUUUCUAGAGAUAGAUUGGUGCCUUCGGGAACGCAGUGACAGGUGCUGCACGGCUGUCGUCAGCUCGUGUUGUGAAAUGUUGGGUUAAGUCCCGCAACGAGCGCAACCCCUAUUGAUAGUUACCAUCAUUAAGUUGGGUACUCUAUUGAGACUGCCGCUGACAAGGCGGAGGAAGGUGGGGACGACGUCAAGUCAUCAUGGCCCUUACGACCAGGGCUACACACGUGCUACAAUGGGUAUUACAGAGGGCUGCGAAGGUGCGAGCUGGAGCGAA
This 1125-nucleotide ribosomal RNA is filed under the name uncultured Pseudomonadota bacterium. Its description in RNAcentral is "bacterial SSU rRNA". It matches the Rfam family "Bacterial small subunit ribosomal RNA", at positions 148 to 1271 of the family's 1533-position model. Lineage: Bacteria; Pseudomonadati; Pseudomonadota. The record is from RNAcentral.